Molecule: non-coding RNA, 1143 nt
Organism: Vigna umbellata (rice bean)
Lineage: Eukaryota; Viridiplantae; Streptophyta; Magnoliopsida; Fabales; Fabaceae
Source: RefSeq, a predicted model, not a curated record
GCUGCAAUUAUAGCUUUUGAACAUUUUGUUGGAAUUCGGAGAAUGUCCUUUCUCCCGGAAGAACUAUGGCGGCGAAUUCUAGAAAUCGGAAUCGAAAGCAGCGGUUUCAGCUACAAGGAUCUCUGCUGCGUCUCCAUCUCAUGCCGCCGCCUGCACCGCCUCUCCUCCGAGGAUCUUCUUUGGAACCGCCUUCUCUCCGCCGACUAUCCUCAACCCCAUCCUUCUUCUUCCACUUCUUCUAAAUCUCUAUAUAAAUUAAGGUUUGAGAGGGACAAGGAGAGGAGAAUAGCUGCUCAUAGGAGGGCUGUGUUGAGAAAAGAGAGCCAGAUUGCGGAACAUUCUAGAAAACUCAGAGAAAUUCAGACACGUGUUGCUCAAGAAACCGCCACAGCCACACAAACUGCUCAAGACUUGUCCAAUUUGCGUAGGGCCAGGCAAGCCUUUGUAGCUUUGAAUGUGUGGCAACCGGAGGUUGUCCGAAGUAGGCAAAAACAAAUGGUUGAGCAGAGUGCUGUCCCUGCUGAAUGUCGGAUACACGCUCUUGAGAUGGAACUAAAGCUUUGUAAGCAACAGAUUGCAGGGUUGGAGCUGUUCUAUAAAGAUGAAAAGCGCAGGCUUGAUACUGCAAAAGAAGAGUUGGCGUCUAUGAAGUAUCACCCUAUGGAGGAGCGUAAGACCAUAAGCCAAAGGGAUAAUAAGCAUGUCAAGCGGAAAAAGCUUAAAAUAUGCAAUAGCUAAUUUGCUUUUGGUAAAAACACAGGCAUUGUUUGAUCCAUGUAACUGAUCACAAAUGGAAAACAUUGCAUCGGUUGAGGUGUUGAUGAAAUUUGCUCAUCCUUCUUCCAUUGAAACUUGGACAGUGUUCUGUCCAUUAAGACUGACUGCAAAUUCUGUGAUCACUGUACGGAGAAUGUAUUAGCAAUACGUAGUGAAAGCCUGAGGGUAUCAAAGUUAAAUCAUUAUGUGUAACUUGAGUUCAGAUGACCCCUUGUUCAUUCGAUUGUAGCCUUUGGACUCGUGGAAACCUUUAAGUUUGAGGAAAGCUUGAUCAAAGGAUGGAGUGUAUCAUAUGCAGAUCAAGAAGUACUAUUAAUGAAGUAUCUAAAUUUAAAAAAUAAAAUUAUAAGGGCUUCACGUGUGGUA